UCGCUUUGGGAGGAGCUCGCUUACUAUCAGCUUGUUGGUAGGGUAACGGCCUACCAAGGCUAUGACGGUUAGGGGGUGUGAGAGCAUGACCCCCAGCAUUGGCACUGAAACACUGGCCAAACACCUACGGGUGGCUGCAGUCGAGAAUCUUCCACAAUGGGGGAAACCCUGAUGGAGCGAUGCUGCGUGCGGGAUGAAGGCCUUCGGGUUGUAAACCGCUUUUGUAGGGGACGAAAUUUUUGACGGUACCCUUUCGAAUAAGAGGUUGCUAACUCUGUGCCAGCAGCAGCGGUAAUACAGAGACCUCAAGCGUUAUCCGGAUUUACUGGGCGUAAAGCGUCUGUAGGGGGUUUAUUAAGUUCCAAGUAAAAUUUCAAGGCUCAACUUUGAAUUCGCUUGGAAAACUAAUAAACUGGAGUCUAGCAGAGGUGCAUGGAACUUGUGGUGUAGGAGUGAAAUCCGUUGAUAUCACAAGGAACACCAAAGGCGAAGGCAUUGCACUGGGCUAGCACUGACCCUGAGAGACGAAAGCGUGGGGAGCAAAACGGAUUAGAUACCCGUGUAGUCCACGCCCUAAACGAUGAAUGCUAAAUGUUCGGGGAUUCGACCCCCUGGGUGUUACAGCUAACGCGUUAAGCAUUCCGCCUGGGAAGUACGGCCGCAAGGCUAAAACUCAAAGGAAUAGACGGGGAUCCGCACAAGCGGUGGAGCGUCUGGUUUAAUUCGACAGUAAGCGUGGUACCUCACCAGGGUUUGACAUCCCUUGACAGCCUUGGAAACAAGGUUUCCUUCGGGCAAGGUGACAGGUGCUGCAUGGUCGUCGUCAGUUCGUGCCGUGAGGUGUUCCGUUAAGUCGGGAAACGAACGAAACCCCUAUUGCAUGUUACAAUUUCUCAUGCAAGACUGCCCGGAUAUACUGGGAGGAAGGUGGGGAUGACGUCAGAUCUGCAUGGUCCUUAUACCCUGGGCGACACAGGCGCUACAAUGGCAGAGACAAAGGGUUGCAAAACCGCAAGGUGAAGCUAAUCCCAAAAACUUUGUCUAAGUUCGGAUUGAAGGCUGCAAUUCGCCUUCAUGAAGCUGGAAUCGCUAGUAAUCGUGAAUCAGCCACGUCACGGUGAAUAUGUUCCCGGAUCUUGUACUCACCGCCCGUCACACCAAGAGAGUUGGUAGCUCCCGAAGCGUCCCGUUUUAGCGGGGC
This 1201-nucleotide ribosomal RNA is filed under the name uncultured organism. RNAcentral's name for it is "bacterial SSU rRNA". It matches the Rfam family "Bacterial small subunit ribosomal RNA", at positions 215 to 1455 of the family's 1533-position model. The record is from RNAcentral.